Molecule: ribosomal RNA, 252 nt
Filed under: uncultured bacterium
Lineage: Bacteria
Description: partial 16S ribosomal RNA
Rfam family: Bacterial small subunit ribosomal RNA
Source: RNAcentral
UACGGAGGAUGCGAGCGUUAUCCGGAUUUAUUGGGUUUAAAGGGUGCGUUGGCGGGCUUUUAAGUCAGCGGUAAAAAUUCGGGGCUCAACCCCGUCCGGCCGUUGAAACUGGGGGCCUUGAGUGGGCGAGAAGAAGGCGGAAUGCGUGGUGUAGCGGUGAAAUGCAUAGAUAUCACGCAGAACCCCGAUUGCGAAGGCAGCCUUCCGGCGCCCUACUGACGCUGAGGCACGAAAGUGCGGGGAUCGAACAGG